This 621-nucleotide long non-coding RNA is filed under the name Helianthus annuus (common sunflower). Lineage: Eukaryota; Viridiplantae; Streptophyta; Magnoliopsida; Asterales; Asteraceae. The record is from RNAcentral.
AUGCUGAGAGGCUGGCUUUUCUCCACUAAUACCACCUGCAAUCCCAAAAUACAUCUCUGGAUUCUGAGGAGUUAUUCUCAUAAACGGUGAUUGUGUCCAGAACACCGUUUUCUUUGAGAAUCUCAAGAUAACCGCUCCAUUUUGCUGGUAAGCCAUCAGCAAAUCUCUUCACCAUUUCUUGUGGAGUGGCAGUGACUCUGAAGGCAAACAUUUCACUCAACAGAUGAUGGAAUCUUGUAGAUAAUUCUGCCAAACCCUCGUUCUCCAUACACGUGAAACCUUCAAACUCUUUCUUCAGCAGCUCUUGCUUGAUCUUCCUCGAUUGAGCGUUUCCUUCACACCGUAACGUGAGCAUAUCCCACAAGCUUUUAGUAGUUGUACAGUAAACGAACUGGUGGUAUAUGUCUCUGUGAAGAGCUUGCGUGAGAAUCAUGAAUGCUUUCUUUUCCAACUCAAAUUUCUUCUUAUCAUCAUCAGACAUUGUGCUGUAAGUUUCUGGAUUCGAUCCUGCAACUUCCAACUCAUUUUCAAAUGGAGUGAAGAAACACAUCCAUAGAUCUUAACCUUCUUUGGCGGUUUUGUGCUUGUACCAGUUUCACUGUCGUUCUGCAUCAUUGCUUG